RNAcentral lists this ribosomal RNA (460 nucleotides) under uncultured bacterium. Its description in RNAcentral is "partial 16S ribosomal RNA". It matches the Rfam family "Bacterial small subunit ribosomal RNA", at positions 338 to 795 of the family's 1533-position model. The record is from RNAcentral.
CCUACGGGCGGCAGCAGUGAGGAAUAGUGGUCAAUGGGCGCGAGCCUGAACCAGCCAAGUAGCGUGAAGGAUGACUGCCCUACGGGUUGUAAACUUCUUUUAUAAAGGAAUAAAGUGAGGCACGUGUGCCUUUUUGUAUGUACUUUAUGACUAAGUAUCGGCUAACUCCGUGCCAGCCGCCGCGGUAAUACGGAGGAGCCGAGCGUUAUCCGGAUUUAUUGGGUUUAAAGGGAGCGUAGAUGGGUUGUUAAGUCAGUGGGGAAAGUUUGCGGCUCAACCGUAAAAUUGCAAUUGAUACUGGCAGUCUUGAGUACAGUUGAGGUAGGCGGAAUUCGUGGUGUAGCGGUGAAAUGCUUAGAUAUCACGAAGAACUCCGAUUGCGAAGGCAGCUUACUAAACUGCCACUGACAUUGAUGCUCGAAAGUGUGGGUAUCAAACAGGAUUAGAUACCCCAGUAGUC